GUCAAGCUACAAAUAACUUGGUUUACCUUUUUAGCCAUCAGGAAAAUUUGUAAUAGUAUAUCUGAUCUAGCACGAAGAGCAAAAAGAGCUUUGGUCGAAUUGAUUGCCACCUUAAGUUAAAUUGAUCUUAUUUCAAAGUCAGCGUUCUUUAAGAUAUUCGAUUCGCAAAUACAACCUAUACUUUUAUAUGGCUCUGAAGUGUUGGGAUUUCAACAAUAUGACAAAUUGGAAAAAGUUCAUCUAUUAGCCUGUAAGAAAUUCCUGCAAGUAGGACAACAAACCCCAAAUGCUAUAAUCUACGGGGAAAGGGGUCGCUUUCCACUGUACAUCAACUCCUAUGUUAGAACACUUAAGUUUUGGCUUAAAUUAAUUCAUAUGAAUGAAGACAGAUGGCCAAAAAAGGCUUAUAAUAUGUUAUUCUAUUUAGAUAACUGUGGACGCCAUACAUGGGCUUCUAACAUUCGUUUACUUCUUUUUUCUCAUGGCUUUGGUUUUGUAUGGAUAUCGCAAACAGUUGGGAACCAGCUUUCAUUUCUACGACUUUUUAAGGAUACUUGUAUAAACAUGUUUUACCAAAACUGGAGAUCAGUCUUAAACUCUAGUUCAAGAUAUCAUUUAUAAGCAGAGUUUAAAAGUCUUUUAGAACCUGAAAAAUAUCUUUCAAUUUUGUAUGAAAGAAAAUUUAGAAACAUAAUUGUAAGAUUUAGAGCAGGUCUUUCAAAAUUGAAGAAUAAUGAAGCAGAUAUCUGUCGAUAGAAAAGUCUUUUCGAAUAUAUCCAGUCUGUAAUAAUGGUAUAGAGGAUGAAUUUCAUUUUUUACUCAUUUGUUCAUGUUAUAAUGAUCUCAGAAAAGAAUACUUACCGGCAAAACUUUGCCGAUAUCCUAGCUUGAACCAUUUCAAAUCUAUUAUGUGUAAUAACAUAGAAGCAGUCUUAAACAGUUUAUCACGUUGCCUAUAUUACGCUUAUGCAAAAAGAACAAGUAGUACAAUUCAAUUAUGACAUAAGUCAUGUGUCACGUUACUUUACCGUUGCAUCUGUGAACAAUUGGUAUAUUGUGAACUGUAAUUGUAUAUGGGCCCGAGGCCUUCAUGCAAAUAAAAGUUCUUCUUCUACUUCUACUGUAUAAAAAAUAUAUAACUAAAGCACUCUUUCAAAGGUGAUUGAUGCUAAAUAUAUGUUACAAGACAAACAUGAAAUUUAUAAAAUAAAAUUCCAAAUAGUAGUUAGAAUUUGAUGAGGAAAAAUAGAUACUGCAAGACAGAUUUAUCAGGUCAUUAUCCAUUUGAAGAAAAACACUUUCCUGGGCCCCAUUUCAAAUCUAACUAAAGAUAUAGUAUUUCAGUUAAUCACGGACCCUAUUCCUGUGUGUACAAGCAAUGUAAUUGUGUAUAAAAUUACUCGUCCCUGAUACUUUGCUGUUAUUUUUGCUUACAGGUGUUUGUAGCAAAGAUUUAAACAAUAAACAAAUAUUUGCACUUUUGGUUUAACGUGAUAUACAAACAUACUCAAUCAUAUAAUAAAGAAAUCUGUUUUGUGGUGACAAGACUUCACUGGAUUUGUUCAAUAUAUUGUCAAUAUGGGGAGUGUUUCACUUUACCAGUGGAUGGCUAUGGCUUAGUUUCCAAAGUACUUUUCCUGGAAAGUUAUUUCUGUUACAGGGCUCUAGACAAGGGCCGUAUAUACAAAUGAAAAUACUUGAGAUAAGAUGUACGAAUUAAGGAUCUGUGCAUCGCCUACAGGGCUCUAGAUAAGGGUCGCAUGUACAAAUGAAAAUACAUGAGAUAAGAUGUACGAAUUAAGGAAAGUAUCUGAUAUCUGGGUAUCGCCUACAGGGCUCUAGAUAAGGGCCGUAUGUACAAAUGAAAAUACUUGAGAUAAGAUGUACGAAUUAAGGGGAGUAUCCAAUAUCUGUGUAUCGCCUAAGCUUUAUUUAGUUUUCUUCACUAGAUACUUGAUUAUUUGGAGCACUAUUACCCUCAACCUCUUUAACAAUCCCACGAUCACAGCUAAGUCCUCACUUCUGCUACACAAACUGCAGAGCGGCUUUGAAAAGUAAACCAGAAUAUUCUUAUAUUUCUAUUUCAGAAAACCAUGACGUCUGUCGGCAACAUGGAUGAGUUGGGUGAACUCUUAGCAACUCUUCAAAAAAGGAGCAACUGAGCGAGCACUGAUGAGUGGAUUAAAUAUCUGUGAAUGUAUCACAGGCUGUGAGGAGGGAGGCUGCAGCUGAGGUCUUAACAGCCACAGAAAGGACACAGUGACCUGUGUGAUUGAAUGACUUCGAGUUCGAGGAGCUUGGCUUAGCAAUGGCGCAAGGAAAAAGUGACAUGAGAAACUGAGCUGCGCAUACAGUGCUGAAUUGCAAGGGAACAGCGUUCACAUUCAAAUACAGUGGACAAUAUCCACAGUCGUUUCAGCGCCUUGUAUGACAAAAACUUGGUAUUGACAGCGUUCAUAUGCACAUGCAGUGGACAAUAUCCAAAGUCGUUUCAGCACCUUGUAUGACAAAAACUUGGUAUUGACAGCGUUCAUAUGCACAUACAGUGGACAAUAUCCACAGUCGUUUCACCACCUUGUAUGACAAAAACUUGGUAUUGACAACUUAUGCAAGUUGCGAGCUUCAAAAUCUGCUUUGUGACAGGUAUUAACACUGUUAUAAUACCAUAAAGUUUUUUUUUAUUCUG
Long non-coding RNA from Haliotis rufescens (red abalone), 2686 nucleotides. RefSeq lists it as uncharacterized. The transcript is spliced from 2 exons. The record is from RefSeq and is a predicted model, not a curated record. Lineage: Eukaryota; Metazoa; Mollusca; Gastropoda; Lepetellida; Haliotidae.